AUGAGUUAUGCAUGCGUGCGCAGAUUCCACUAUGUUCUUCUGGAGAUUAAGCUUGAGCAGGGAGUAGUAAACGUCUUAGACUCGAGACGAAAAGAUCCCCAAACCUAUGCGGACAUGACUAAAAUGCUCAACAAGUUCAAUCGAUCAUUUAUCGCACCAUAUCGGCAACUUUUUGUUCAUUUCCUAAUAUCUCAAGUAAUAAUAAUUAUUUUCUUUGUCUUGCAGUGUUUGGAAACAGUUCACCGCAGAAGUUCCGGGACUGCCAAAGGAGCUGCGAUAUACAUACCCGAAAGUAAGUACUACUAG
This 306-nucleotide ribosomal RNA is filed under the name Triticum aestivum (bread wheat). RNAcentral's name for it is "partial small subunit ribosomal RNA". The record is from RNAcentral. Lineage: Eukaryota; Viridiplantae; Streptophyta; Magnoliopsida; Poales; Poaceae.